CAGUAGCCGCGGGAACACGUAGGUGGCAAGCGUUGUCCGGAAUUAUUGGGCGUAAAGGGCUCGCAGGCGGCUUCUUAAGUCUGAUGUGAAAGCCCCCGGCUCAACCGGGGAGGGUCAUUGGAAACUGGGAAACUUGAGUGCAGAAGAGGAGAGUGGAAUUCCACGUGUAGCGGUGAAAUGCGUAGAGAUGUGGAGGAACACCAGUGGCGAAGGCGACUCUCUGGUCUGUAACUGACGCCGAGGAGCGAAAGCGUGGGGAGCGAACAGGAUUAGAUACCCGUGUAGUCCCUGUCUCUUAUAC
This 301-nucleotide ribosomal RNA is filed under the name uncultured bacterium. RNAcentral's name for it is "partial 16S ribosomal RNA". It matches the Rfam family "Bacterial small subunit ribosomal RNA", at positions 509 to 807 of the family's 1533-position model. The record is from RNAcentral.